AGUGAACGCUGGCGGUAGGCCUAACACAUGCAAGUCGAACGGCAGCACAGUAAGAGCUUGCUCUUACGGGUGGCGAGUGGCGGACGGGUGAGGAAUACAUCGGAAUCUACUUUUUCGUGGGGGAUAACGUAGGGAAACUUACGCUAAUACCGCAUACGACCUACGGGUGAAAGCAGGGGAUCUUCGGACCUUGCGCGAUUGAAUGAGCCGAUGUCGGAUUAGCUAGUUGGCGGGGUAAAGGCCCACCAAGGCGACGAUCCGUAGCUGGUCUGAGAGGAUGAUCAGCCACACUGGAACUGAGACACGGUCCAGACUCCUACGGGAGGCAGCAGUGGGGAAUAUUGGACAAUGGGCGCAAGCCUGAUCCAGCCAUACCGCGUGGGUGAAGAGGGCCUUCGGGUUGUAAAGCCCUUUUGUUGGGAAAGAAAAGCGGCAGGUUAAUACCCCGCUGUUCUGACGGUACCCAAAGAAUAAGCACCGGCUAACUUCGUG
This 492-nucleotide ribosomal RNA is filed under the name uncultured bacterium. RNAcentral's name for it is "partial 16S ribosomal RNA". It matches the Rfam family "Bacterial small subunit ribosomal RNA", at positions 29 to 507 of the family's 1533-position model. The record is from RNAcentral.